This 28-nucleotide small RNA is filed under the name Bombyx mori (domestic silkworm). RNAcentral describes it as "ovarian small RNA-29942". The record is from RNAcentral. Lineage: Eukaryota; Metazoa; Arthropoda; Insecta; Lepidoptera; Bombycidae.
UCUGAGGAAAUAGGAUUUAAAGGUCGGA